UUUUUAGCGCCAUCUGCUCGCGGCGCCGCCUCCUGCUCCUCCCGCUGCUGCUGCCGCUGCCGCCCUGAGUCACUGCCUGCGCAGCUCCGGCCGCCUGGCUCCCCAUACUAGUCGCCGAUAUUUGGAGUUCUUACAACAUGGCAGACAUUGACAAGUAAGUGGCAGAGAGUUGGUUCUUUUUCAGAGAUUUGGCAUCACUUUGUACUCUGUUCUUAACAGCAAGUAGUAUGAAUUAUAUAUUAUGAAAAUGUAGUUACUAAUGCUUAGUACCUACUUUUACAAAAGUCUAGUGCAGUGUAUUCAAGGUAAAAUAUAGAAUAUAUGAUCAUUAGCAUAUUUAUGAUCAUAUAUUCGAAACCAUCGUAUAUACUAAACCAUUUGUCACUAUUUUUAAGAAAAUGCUGAGCAUGAUAAUGGAUUAUAAAUACUUGCAGAAUUCAUUUUUAUUGUAUAUAUUUCCCAAAGAUUUACUGCUUGCAUUGUAAUGUACCAAACACCCAAAAUGUGUAUAAAAUGUAUUUAUAUAUAGAGCUUAAGGAAUAUUCAGACAAG
This 552-nucleotide long non-coding RNA is filed under the name Homo sapiens (human). RNAcentral's name for it is "non-protein coding lnc-PHLDA1-2:3". Lineage: Eukaryota; Metazoa; Chordata; Mammalia; Primates; Hominidae. The record is from RNAcentral.